CUAAAAGAAGGUUAUUCUUUUAUCUUGUUUUAAAAGGGGCUCAUUGGAAAAUGGAAGAUAUUAUAAGUGGACAUAGAAGCCAAGUGGUUAAUUGAUCAAAUCCUAACUGUAUAAAUUCUUGGACGAAAAGAUGAUCAUUGUUAACUAAUGUAACUCCCAAUUUAAUCUCACCUGCAAUUCUCGUGGACUUGGCACAUGAAACUUAACUCAGUAUUCAUGCAUUUUUGUUUUGAGCCCCGGUUUCAAAUCUUGUAAAGAGAAUCAGCAUGUACAGCAGGCUAAAACGAAACAAAAUAUCACUAUUCAUGUUUUUUUG
Molecule: non-coding RNA, 316 nt
Organism: Pelobates cultripes (western spadefoot toad)
Lineage: Eukaryota; Metazoa; Chordata; Amphibia; Anura; Pelobatidae
Source: the annotation of a GenBank genome assembly